This 498-nucleotide ribosomal RNA is filed under the name uncultured Actinomycetes bacterium. Its description in RNAcentral is "bacterial SSU rRNA". It matches the Rfam family "Bacterial small subunit ribosomal RNA", at positions 8 to 522 of the family's 1533-position model. Lineage: Bacteria; Bacillati; Actinomycetota; Actinomycetes. The record is from RNAcentral.
AGAGUUUGAUCAUGGCUCAGGACGAACGCUGGCGGCACGCUUAACACAUGCAAGUCGAACGUGAAACUCGGAGCUUGCUCCGGGUGGAAAGUGGCGAACGGGUGAGUAACACGUGAGGAACCUGCCCCGAAGACUGGGAUAACGCCGGGAAACCGACGCUAAUACUGGAUGCCUUCUCCGGAUCGCAUGAUCUGGCGAAGAAAUGGAUUCCGCUUCGGGAUGGCCUCGCGGCCUAUCAGCUUGUUGGUGGGGUAACGGCCUACCAAGGCAACGACGGGUAGCUGGUCUGAGAGGAUGUCCAGCCACACUGGGACUGAGACACGGCCCAGACUCCUACGGGAGGCAGCAGUGGGGAAUCUUGCGCAAUGGGCGAAAGCCUGACGCAGCGAUGCCGCGUGCGGGAUGAAGGCCUUCGGGUUGUAAACCGCUUUCAGCAGGGACGAAAUUGACGGUACCUGCAGAAGAAGCCCCGGCCACUACGUGCCAGCAGCCGCGGUA